GCUGGCGGCGUGCCUAAUACAUGCAAGUGGGACGCAAGGGAACACACUGUGCUUGCACACCGUGUUUUCUUGAGUCGCGAACGGGUGAGUAACGCGUAGGUAACCUGCCUAUUAGCGGGGGAUAACUAUUGGAAACGAUAGCUAAUACCGCAUAAUAUUAAUUAUUGCAUGAUAAUUGAUUGAAAGAUGCAAGCGCAUCACUAGUAGAUGGACCUGCGUUGUAUUAGCUAGUUGGUAAGGUAAGAGCUUACCAAGGCGACGAUACAUAGCCGACCUGAGAGGGUGAUCGGCCACACUGGGACUGAGACACGGCCCAGACCUCUACGGGAGGCAGCAGUAGGGAAUCUUCGGCAAUGGACGAAAGUCUGACCGAGCAACGCCGCGUGAGUGAAGAAGGUUUUCGGAUCGUAAAGCUCUGUUGUAAGUCAAGAACGUGUGUGAGAGUGGAAAUGU
RNAcentral lists this ribosomal RNA (453 nucleotides) under Streptococcus mutans. Its description in RNAcentral is "bacterial SSU rRNA". It matches the Rfam family "Bacterial small subunit ribosomal RNA", at positions 35 to 470 of the family's 1533-position model. The record is from RNAcentral. Lineage: Bacteria; Bacillati; Bacillota; Bacilli; Lactobacillales; Streptococcaceae.